This 777-nucleotide ribosomal RNA is filed under the name uncultured Neocallimastigales. RNAcentral describes it as "partial large subunit ribosomal RNA". It matches the Rfam family "Eukaryotic large subunit ribosomal RNA", at positions 20 to 646 of the family's 3401-position model. The record is from RNAcentral. Lineage: Eukaryota; Fungi; Neocallimastigomycota; Neocallimastigomycetes; Neocallimastigales.
CAUCACUACGCUAGAUGCAUAUCAAUAAGCGGAGGAAAAGAAACUAACAAGGAUUCCCUUAGUAACGGCGAGUGAAGCGGGAAGAGCUCAAAUUUGAAAUCUUCAAGGUUCUACCUUGACGAAUUGUAGUUUAUAGAAGUGUUUUCUGUUAGUAGAGUGGCAAAAGUUCUUUGGAAUAGGACAUCAUAGAGGGUGAGAAUCCCGUAUUUGGUCAUUCUUUCUAGCUUUGUGAUACACUUUCAACGAGUCGGAUUGUUUGGGAAUGCAGUCCAAAAUGGGUGGUAAAUUUCAUCUAAAGCUAAAUAUUGGCGAGAGACCGAUAGCGAACAAGUACCGUGAGGGAAAGAUGAAAAGAACUUUGAAAAGAGAGUUAAACAGUACGUGAAAUUGUCAAAAGGGAAGCGUUUGACACCAGUGUUGUUUUCUCGAAAAUCAAUUAAAAAUGGCGGGAUUUUGUGUUGUAUUGACUUUAUCAGCUUUCUGCACUUUUUUCCUGUCUUUCUUAAUGCACUUUUCGUUUAACAAGUCAACAUCAAUUUCUUUUGUCGUAAAAGAGUCAUUGGAAGGUGGCUUUUUCUUCGGAAAAAGUGUUUAUAGCCUUUGAUCUCUGCAACCGGAGAGACUGAGGUCUGCAGCGUAGACUCUUCGGGGUUAGAUACAUUUGUGCUAAGUUAUAGCUUUUUCAUAGACAACUUGUUGACUAUAUUUAGUCUUGUAGGCUUACUCGCUUACUGCUAUUUUACCUACGCUUAGGAUGUUGACACACGCGCGUGCUCG